This 332-nucleotide ribosomal RNA is filed under the name uncultured bacterium. RNAcentral's name for it is "bacterial SSU rRNA". It matches the Rfam family "Bacterial small subunit ribosomal RNA", at positions 774 to 1099 of the family's 1533-position model. The record is from RNAcentral.
AGUAAAUAGAUACCCCGGUAGUCCACGCCGUAAACGAUGAGUACUAGGUGUAGGAGGUAUCGACUCCUUCUGUGCCGCAGUUAAACACAAUAAGUACUCCGCCUGGGAAGUACGGUCGCAAGAUUAAACUACAAAGGAAUUGACGGGGGCCCGGCACAAGCAGCGGAGCAUGUGGUUUAAAUUUCGAAGCAACGCGAAGAACCUUACCUAGACUUGACAUCUCCUGAAUAGUGUAGAGAUACAUGAAGCCCUUCGGGGUCGAGGAAGACAGGUGGUGCAUGGUUGUCGUCAGCUCGUGUCGUGAGAUGUUGGGUUAAGUCCCGCAACAGCGC